Molecule: long non-coding RNA, 218 nt
Organism: Odontomachus brunneus
Lineage: Eukaryota; Metazoa; Arthropoda; Insecta; Hymenoptera; Formicidae
Exons: 2
Source: RefSeq, a predicted model, not a curated record
AUUUCGGAACGUAGCCAAUGGAUUAUAAGACAUUUUUUAACUAAUCUCUAAAAAAAUAUAUACUCUAAGUGCAAUAAAUUAUAACUUUGGUAAAAAUUGAUAUCGAGAUAGUUUAAAAAGCAUUUUACAACUUGAAGUUUCUAUUUCAACAGAGAUAAUUUUUACAGAUCUACAGUCUGUACAUUACGAAGAAAGGAUGACAGAAUGCGAGUAUUAUG